Molecule: long non-coding RNA, 2258 nt
Organism: Pezoporus occidentalis (night parrot)
Lineage: Eukaryota; Metazoa; Chordata; Aves; Psittaciformes; Psittacidae
Exons: 2
Source: RefSeq, a predicted model, not a curated record
AGCAGGUGCACCGUUCCCCCAUUGGAUGGGGAUUGCCGUCAAGCUCUGCCACAACCGGGUUUCCUUCGCUCGUGCGGCGGCGGCUUAUGGCUCGUUGGCGACAGCUUUAGUGCAGAUAUGUCCUGGCUGAAGGCGGUCCAGUGGGGAGUGCAGCCUGGCUGCACAGCUGCACAGCAGUGACUCUGCCAGGGACAAGCAAGGAAUGGGGAACUUGAUGGUUCCUUCUGCAACACUCAAGUCGCAGCAUCACAUCCCAGGAAGCAAGACUUACCAGUAAAGCACCAAAUCCUGAUGUUUACUUAUAAAGCUACCACUUGUUGCUCGGUUGCCUUUGGAGGCACUAAUUAAUAGAAAAUGUAGUUAUAGAAAUUCUUGAUUGGGUUUCCCAAUAUAUUAGGAUAUAACAGAACUGAUAAAUCGGAGUGCAGAAAACCAAGAUGACUUUAAUUGUCUAAAUAGAGCAGUAUGUAUAACUUUGCUGAAUGUACGCUUGGGUAAGACAAGUCAAUUGUAAAUUAGGUUUAAUCUACAAAACACUAGGUGAACACACAUAUGCUUUUAAAUUUAAUCUCAAUUUCACAGUGAUGUUACGAUGGUUUACCUUUCUUUUGUACAAUAGCUUUGUUUUCAGUGAAGGUCCUGAGAUGAAAUCUGUUUCCUGUUCUGAAUUUCAGGCCCUUCACAAGGACGUAGCAGAUUCCUAUAGGCUGGAAGAGAUUUCAGGAACCAAGUAUCCAGCCUCAAGAAAAUGAAUGGAAGUAUAGGUAGCAUUACUAGGUGCACAGUACUACUCUUUAGUGAGGGUACAUUGUGGCAUCUUGUUGGAAAAGGGCAGAUGAAAGACCCUGUUCUUUGCUAGUUCCUAACUUUAGUCAGGCAUGGAAAUAUGUCCUUGGAAUGGUCUCCGCUUGUUUUGAACUCCCUAGUCACUGUUGCAAAGCAGGUAACUCCCAUGAAUAGCAACGCUGAUGGGUGUGGGUUUUAGAGAGCUUGAAAAUCAGGAUUAGGAGAGGAAUUCUGCAUUGUCUGCUGACAAGACAGAGCACUGCAGUCUGCAGGCUGACCUUGGCAUGCUUGAGGAAAUAAGACAGUCACUGUGUGACCUUUUUACAGCUGUUGCAGGUGGCUGCAGACCAUGUCAGCAGGGCUGGAUAUGUUCUUAGAACUGCUCCUCAGCGCUAACUUGGCCUAAGAUCUGACAGUGGAGUCCAGCAAAGCAUCUUUGUACUGUCAGCAUAAAAAUAGGCCAAUCCCCUGAUCUGUAGCCAUUGUAACAGAGCCAUUCAACUCUUUACAUUUUAUGCUAUGUUCAAAUGGUCUUUUGAAAAGGUGAAAGAAAUGAAAUCUGUUUAAAACUUUAAUUCUGGAAACAGUUUUCACUCAUUUCAAGAAAGGAUUUCCAGAACUUGGGGGUGACAAUUCAGCAAAAUUCUUACAUAAACUAUAGCAGAAUUGUUUAUGUCACCAUCACAGCUCCAGUUUCAAGUAGUUCAGACAAGAAAAACACCAAGCCAAAGUGUAAUCUGGCUUUGGGUAAUUUAAAUAAUUGCAGGCUUGUGGGGCCUUGCCAGGUCUUGUAAUGCAGACAUUUAGAUCAGUGAUGAUGUAGAAAGAAUAAGACAGAGCUGCCUUGAUGGAAAGCUUCGUAUUAGCUUUGAGUCCUUCUGCAAAGCUCCAUUAAGAGAUUAACACUGACAUAAAAAUGCCCAUAGACACUACUUUGUAUGUUUCCAUAAAGUUCCAUACCAUUACCUGAAAAUUUAAACACAUUUUAUAUGAAAAGAAAUUCCUUCAGUGCUUUGCUUAACAAAUGUGUCACUGGAUAAUGACUUACUCCUAAGUAUUUUAGACAUUCAGCUGUUUGUAAUGUUGAGUUAGAAUCUGAAGAAAGUUUUAAAUAACAUUUUUCAGUGGAAUGCUUAACUCUCUUAAGGUUUUUAUCCUUUCUUGAAAUCCUAGUUACUAGCUUUUCAGAUCAGAGGCAGUUCUGUCUGGCAUCCAGCAGUGUUAUCCUUGAAUUCAGAAAUUUGAAAAAAAGGCUGGCAUUAAGCAUUCCAUUUCCCAAAGAGUUUGUACUGAGCUCUUAAACGUCUGUGUUGUGUAUCACUUCCCUGCCUCUUACAAAGACCAUAGUUCCAAGUGCGAAGCGGACAAGGUAGCUGAUUUUCUGUCUUGCUAGAAGGAAUUAAGCUAGUGUAAUUUCCCUACUGUAUCUAACUCUUUGCUGUGGUUGUCUAAAUAAAGGGUAUUUCUUUUCA